Long non-coding RNA from Monopterus albus (swamp eel), 300 nucleotides. RefSeq lists it as uncharacterized. The transcript is spliced from 3 exons. The record is from RefSeq and is a predicted model, not a curated record. Lineage: Eukaryota; Metazoa; Chordata; Actinopteri; Synbranchiformes; Synbranchidae.
GUGUUUGUGUCAUGAAGCUGUUGUGUGAUGGUCAACAUCUAAAUGCUCCUGUAACACACUAGGCUGUGACAGCGAGCGUACACAGAUGGCAUCUCCGAUUACUGAGCUGGAGGCGGUGAUAAUCAUGUUCUCCCUCCUGGUUUUUGCCCUCUUCACACUUACUGGGAUGCUCAAUGAGGAAUGUGCACACUGGAAUGAGACUAAGACACGACCACAAAGUGAGGAGCUGAUUGUGUGACUCCAGACAAGAGCCAUGGCAAAGAAUGAAAACCUUUUGUGCGAAACAUUCCUGUUUGGUGU